Molecule: ribosomal RNA, 1450 nt
Filed under: uncultured Bacteroides sp.
Lineage: Bacteria; Pseudomonadati; Bacteroidota; Bacteroidia; Bacteroidales; Bacteroidaceae
Description: partial 16S ribosomal RNA
Source: RNAcentral
CCUACUUGCGAUCGAUGUCCGAAUUGUGUACGUUCAGCUCCCCGUCGUACCAGAAUCGAACGAUUCUGACUACCGCUGGCCGCGUGCCCACUCAUUGUGCAUAGGUUGGACGGCAGAUGAGAACCUGUCGGAAGACUUUCCUUCUAAUUAUGUUCUACCGUAGUACUCAGGCGUACAAGUGUACUAAUUUCCAUAAGGCCAUCUGCUACCCCUACGCAAGGUAAUCUAUCAUCCGCCCCAUUGCCGGGUGGAUCAGAAGCUACCUAUCCCAAGACUCUCCUUCAGGGGGUGUAACCUUGACUCUGUGCCAGGUUUGAGGAUGCCCUCCGUCGUCACUCCUUAUAACCAGUUACCCGCUCUCGGACUUGGUCGGUUCAUCGCACUUCCUACUGACGGGAUACCCAACAUUUGAAGAAAAUAUUUCCUUAUUUCAGCCCAUACCUAUGGGCAAACGUACAUGAAAUACUUAUUCCUAGCCGAUUGAGGCACGGUCGUCGGCGCCAUUAUGCCUCCUAGGCUCGCAAUAGGCCUAAAUAACCCAAAUUUCCCUCGCAUCUACCUACAAAUUCAGUCAACACUUUCAAACGCCGAGUUGGCAUUUUAACGUCAACUAUGACCUAUAGAACUCACGUCAACUCCGUCCGCCUUAAGCACCACAUCGCCACUUUACGAAUCUAUAGUGCUUCUUGAGGCUAACGCUUCCGUCGGACGAUUCGACGUUGACUGUAACUCCGAGCUUUCACACCCAUAGUUUGUCCUAAUCUAUGGGACCAUCAGGUGUGCCAUUUGCUACUUAUGAGCGACAAACGCUAUAUGCCGUUCGCCGGUUCGCUUUCGCAAUUCAUAAGGUGGACCCCUCAUGCGGCCGUUGCCACUUUGAGUUUCCUUAACUGCCCCCGGGCGUGUUCGCCUCCUUGUACACCAAAUUAAGCUACUAUGCGCUCCUUGGAAUGGGCCCGAAUUUAACGUCUACUUAAUGCCACUUUCGGCAUUCGGCGUUCCGUAGACACUUCCACGACGUACCAACAGCAGUCGAGCACGGCACUCCACAGCCGAAUUCACGGUAUUGCUCGCGUUGGGAACAACAGUCAAUGAUUGUCCAAGACGACUCCUGAGACUGUUCUGACGGUAGCAUUCUACACUCCUUCCACCCCUACUGCAGUUUAGUCGUGCCGGGAAUGCAGGCCCCGAUGUGUGCACAAUGUUACCCCCCAUGUCUCCCGGCGAUGGUGCGCUCACUACGGUUAGGGUUUUUGGAGAGAGUCAAGCCUGACCUCAGACGUUGGGCUGAGGUGCUUCGACCUAAGCGAUCAUUAGCGCGUAGUCGGUGCCGCGCCACUUAUGCAAGGGCCCGGAACAUGUGUGGCGGGCAGUUCGGUACCCUCGGCCCCCCAUGGACUUCACGCAUUGGCGCUCCUCGCGGGAUCCCAUUUUGACCACUGACCCCGAU